This 604-nucleotide ribosomal RNA is filed under the name uncultured Lachnospiraceae bacterium. Its description in RNAcentral is "bacterial SSU rRNA". It matches the Rfam family "Bacterial small subunit ribosomal RNA", at positions 135 to 757 of the family's 1533-position model. The record is from RNAcentral. Lineage: Bacteria; Bacillati; Bacillota; Clostridia; Lachnospirales; Lachnospiraceae.
ACAGGGGGAUAACAGUCAGGAAUGACUGCUAAUACCGCAUAAGCGCACAGAGCUGCAUGGCUCGGUGCGAAAAACUCCGGUGGUAUAAGAUGGACCCGCGUUGGAUUAGCUAGUUGGUGAGGUAACGGCCCACCAAGGCGACGAUCCAUAGCCGGCCUGAGAGGGUGAACGGCCACAUUGGGACUGAGACACGGCCCAGACUCCUACGGGAGGCAGCAGUGGGGAAUAUUGCACAAUGGGGGAAACCCUGAUGCAGCGACGCCGCGUGAAGGAAGAAGUAUCUCGGUAUGUAAACUUCUAUCAGCAGGGAAGAAAAUGACGGUACCUGACUAAGAAGCCCCGGCUAACUACGUGCCAGCAGCCGCGGUAAUACGUAGGGGGCAAGCGUUAUCCGGAUUUACUGGGUGUAAAGGGAGCGUAGACGGAUGGACAAGUCUGAUGUGAAAGGCUGGGGCUCAACCCCGGGACUGCAUUGGAAACUGCCCGUCUUGAGUGCCGGAGAGGUAAGCGGAAUUCCUAGUGUAGCGGUGAAUGCGUAGAUAUUAGGAGGAACACCAGUGGCGAAGGCGGCUUACUGGAUCGGUAACUGACGUUGAGGCUCGAA